UGCCAACUGCUGAGAAACUCCAAAGAUUUCCCCUGUUCACCCAUGCCAGUGAGGCCUGAUCGCUGAAGUAGACAAACUGAGACACUUGGAGGCUCAGCUGAACUCUUCGGCGCAACAGAGCUUUGGGGGCCAAUUUCUUUGCCACAGAAAGGAAUGUGCAAACUGAAAGACAAUGAAGAAAUCAAAGUUUUAAUUGACUGCCAAAGAGGUUGAAUUUCAAACUGAAGUGAUCGAAAUGAAGAAAGUGAUUGAAGGUAUAUUCACAGAUCCAGUGAAGGGAGUCUACUACUUCACAUUAUGUACGUUUGUCUACAAUGACCACAAGGGUGCUGAUGGUGACAAUGCGGCCAUUUUGAAUCUGAAUAAUGGGGACAGGGUCUGUGUGGAACUGUGGGAACAGUGCCAGGUGUAAGACAACAAUGAUGGGCACACUAGCUUCAGUGUGUAAAAUAGAUGUUAUAACCUGUAAAUGAGAAUUACCUCCCUGCCAUGAAAUGCACACUAGGGGUGUGUCCCAAUAAUCUGUGUGUGUACUCUCACUAAAACCAUUGGAUUGGCAGAGGCAUGGGCUAGUGGUAAUUUCCAACAUAUUUCUUAUUCCAUUCAGCAGUAAUUCCCUCUAAAUUAGUGAUGGGAGGUGAACAAGUGCACACUUUGGGAGUUAUGAGCGCUAAUUGGGACAAAGCCUCUCUCUGAAAUGAAGCAGGAAUUAUCUUGACGGUGACUGAAUUUUGUGAGAAUUAACUCCACUGUAUACCUAUGCUGAAUCCCAAACCAGCCCUGUUUUCUCAUGGACUGCUCUUGCAAGUUGUAUUUCCUCUUAAAGUUUGCAUAUCCACAGUAUUUCUGACUUUUUUUUUGUGAUUUGUUUAUGGAAAAGCCUGGAUUAUAAUGUAUGAACUUUUCAUGCCUCCAUGUUAUUUUUCUAUGCUGUUAAUUGAGUUUAGUGUUUUUUUUAAAUGACUGAUUAACUGUAGACAUUGUUUUUGAACCGUUGAACUUCAGUAUGCCAAUGCAAUUCAUUAGACAUUUUCAGACUGAC
This is a long non-coding RNA of Oncorhynchus tshawytscha (Chinook salmon), 1042 nucleotides long. RefSeq lists it as uncharacterized. Lineage: Eukaryota; Metazoa; Chordata; Actinopteri; Salmoniformes; Salmonidae. The transcript is spliced from 3 exons. The record is from RefSeq and is a predicted model, not a curated record.